GGUAUGAACGGCACCGCAAAGGUUCAACUGUCUCCUGCAUCCAGUCCAUUAAACUGACCUCCCCGUGCAGAGGCGGGGAUAUGACCAUAAAACGAGAAGACCCUAUGGAGCUUUAAACUAAAGGCAACUGCCAAACCAUUCAACCCCCAAUGAUAAACAAUAAAACAAGCAGAAAUUGACCUAAAGUUUUCGGUUGGGGCGACCAUGGAGAAUAAAAAAUCCUCCUUGAAGAAUAGGGAUUAAAACCCUUAACCAAGAACCACUAUUCUAAGUAACAAAAUUUAUGACUGCAAUUGAUCCAAUCCUACUGAUCAACGAACCAAGUUACCCUAGGGAUAACAGCGCAAUCCAUUUCAAAAGUUCCUAUCGACAAAUGGGUUUACGACCUCGAUGUUGGAUCAGGGCAUCCCAGUGGUGCAGCCGCUACUAAAGGUUCGUUUGUUCAACGAUUAAAGCCCUACGUGAUCUGAUUUUCAAACCGGA
This 483-nucleotide ribosomal RNA is filed under the name Xenopus pygmaeus (Bouchia clawed frog). Its description in RNAcentral is "partial large subunit ribosomal RNA". It matches the Rfam family "Bacterial large subunit ribosomal RNA", at positions 1989 to 2620 of the family's 2925-position model. The record is from RNAcentral. Lineage: Eukaryota; Metazoa; Chordata; Amphibia; Anura; Pipidae.